This 1197-nucleotide ribosomal RNA is filed under the name Triticum aestivum (bread wheat). RNAcentral describes it as "partial small subunit ribosomal RNA". The record is from RNAcentral. Lineage: Eukaryota; Viridiplantae; Streptophyta; Magnoliopsida; Poales; Poaceae.
AUGGAGGACCUCGCCGGAGCCAUCAGGGACCUGGCCGCCCUCUCCACGCGGCUACUCCUUCAACUCAGCGGCGACGGCGAGAAACGCAACCUGGCCAUCUCCCCGCUGUCUAUCCACUCCGUGGUCGUUCUUCUCGCCGCCGGUGCCACGGGCGACACCCUCGACCAGAUCGUCUCCUUCCUGGGCCUCUCCGGCGGUGCAGCGCAUGCGGCCCUCGCCUCCGAGGUGGCCACCCUUGUAUUCGGCAGGGACGCCGGCGUGGAGCCCCAGAUCCAGUGCGCCGUAGGUGUUUGGGUGGAGUCCUCGCUCCGUCUGAGGUCCGCCUUCGCAGACAAGGUCACCUCCGAGUUCAAGGCCGGGGUGCGAGCCAUGCCAUUCCGAGAGAAUGUGGAAGAGGCGAGGGUUGAGAUCAACCGCUGGUUUGAGGACAAGACAGGCGGCUUCAUCAAGGACCUCAUGCCAGAAGGCCACCUCGACGCCAUCUCGACGGUCCUCGUCAUCGGCAACGCGCUCUAUAUGAGGGGCACAUGGCUAGAUCCGUUCAUUCCUUACAACACACUGGACGACGACUUCUUCUUGCCCGACGCCGACGGGAGCCGUGUGCGCGUGCCGUUCAUGACGAGCACAAACGAUCAGCGCAUCAGCUGCCAUCCCGGCUUCAAAGUCCUGCUGCUGCCCUACGAGAGCAAAGGCAACCACGAGUUCAGCAUGCACAUCUACCUCCCCGACGAGCGCAACGGCCUGCAGGCCCUGGUGCGCGAGAUCAGCUCCUCCGGCACCGCCGAGUUCCUGGACCGCUGCGUCCCAACACGACACGUCGCGGUGAGGAACCUGAGAAUCCCAAAGUUCCAGGUGUCAUCCAAGAUAGAUGCGCGAGAUGUGCUGAAAGGCCUUGGUCUGGAGCUACCGUUCCACUUUACAUACGACUGGUCGGAGAUGAUCGAAUUCUCAGAGCCAGCGCCGCCUGUAGCGGUGCAGAACGUACUCCACGAGUGCGUCGUGGAGGUGAACGAGGAUGGAACAAUGGCCGCUGCGGCCACUGAAGCUGAUUUAAUGAUGGGGUUCUCCAUCACGGGGGAGGAGGAACCGGCGGCUCAUGUUGACUUCGUGGCAGAUCACCCGUUCCUGUUCCUAAUCAGGGAGGACAAAAGUGGCAUUGUUCUUUUUGCCGGGCAAGUGGUCAAUCCCCUGCUUUAG